ACAGGGAUACUGGAGUGAUGGAGGUAGAUAUGUAUAAGGGACAGGGAUACUGGAGUGAUGGAGGUAGAUAUGUAUAGGGGGAAGGGGACAGGGAUACUGGAGUGAUGGAGGUAGAUAUGUAUAGGGGACAGGGAUACUGGAGUGAUGGAGGUAGAUAUGUAUAAGGGACAGGGAUACUGGAGUGAUGGAGGUAGAUAUGUAUAGGAGACAGGGAUACUGUAGUGAUGGAGGUAGAUAUGUAUAGGGGGAAGGGGACAGGGAUACUGGAGUGAUGGAGGUAGAUAUGUAUAGGGGGAAUGGGACAGGGAUACUGGAGUGAUGGAGGUAGAUAUGUA
This 335-nucleotide long non-coding RNA is filed under the name Salmo salar (Atlantic salmon). RNAcentral's name for it is "lncRNA (ENSSSAG00000118676.1, ENSSSAG00000120363.1)". Lineage: Eukaryota; Metazoa; Chordata; Actinopteri; Salmoniformes; Salmonidae. The record is from RNAcentral.